CCUACGGGGGACAGCAGUGAGGAAUAUUGGUCAAUGGACGAGAGUCUGAACCAGCCAAGUAGCGUGAAGGAUGACUGCCCUAUGGGUUGUAAACUUCUUUUAUAUGGGAAUAAAACGUUCCACGUGUGGGAUUUUGUAUGUACCAUAUGAAUAAGGAUCGGCUAACUCCGUGCCAGCAGCCGCGGUAAUACGGAGGAUCCGAGCGUUAUCCGGAUUUAUUGGGUUUAAAGGGAGCGUAGGUGGAUUGUUAAGUCAGUUGUGAAAGUUUGCGGCUCAACCGUAAAAUUGCAGUUGAAACUGGCAGUCUUGAGUACAGUAGAGGUGGGCGGAAUUCGUGGUGGAGCGGUGAAAUGCUUAGAUAUCACGAAGAACUCCGAUUGCGAAGGCAGUUCACUGGACUGCAACUGACACUGAGGCUCGAAAGUGUGGGUAUCAAACAGGAUUAGAUACCCUUGUAGUC
Molecule: ribosomal RNA, 460 nt
Filed under: uncultured bacterium
Lineage: Bacteria
Description: partial 16S ribosomal RNA
Rfam family: Bacterial small subunit ribosomal RNA
Source: RNAcentral